AGAGUUUGAUCAUGGCUCAGAACGAACGCUGGCGGCGUGGCUAAGACAUGCAAGUCGAACGAGCUAGGCAAUUGAGCAAUCGAACGCCUAGUUAGUGGCGAAAGGGUUAGUAAUGGCUAGGUAACGUACCCUGUACUUCGGGAUAGCGUCUGAGUGCUUGCACUCUUCCGAAAGGGGCAUUAAUACCGAAUGAUAUCCCCCGUCGAUGGGCGGGUGAUCAAAGAUUUAUCGGUGCAGGAGCGGCCUAGUUCCUAUCAGCUAGUUGGUGAGGUAACGGCCCACCAAGGCGAUGACGGGUAGCGGGACUGAGAGGUUGGCCCGCAACAUCGGGACUGAGACACUGCCCGGACCUCCACGGAGGGCUGCAGUAACGAAUAUUGGGCAAUGAGCGAAAGCUUGACCCAGCGACGCCGCGUGUAGGAGGAAGUCCUUCGGGAUGUAAACUACUGUCAGGGGGAAGAAAGUCCGUUUCGGCGGAUUGAUCUAACCCAGAGGAAGUCACGGCUAACUUCGUGCCAGCAGCCGCGGUAAGACGAAGGUGGCAAGCGUUGUUCGGAAUCACUGGGCUUAAAGCGUGUGUAGGCGGAAGCGUAAGCGUUUUGUGAAAUCCCUCGGCUUAACCGAGGAAUUGCUUGACGAACUGCGCUUCUUGAGGCAGGUAGGGGUGCGAGGAACUCUUGGUGGAGCGGUGGAAUGCGUAGAUAUCAAGAGGAACGCCGGUGGAGAAGUCGUUGCACUGGGCCUGUCCUGACGCUGAGACACGAAAGCGUGGGGAGCGAACGGGAUUAGAUACCCCGGUAGUCCACGCCGUAAACGAUGCCUACUAGGUUGUGGCGGUUCUGACGCCGGCACAGCCGAAGCCAAAGUGUUAAGUAGGCCGCCUGGGGAGUACGGUCGCAAGGCUAAAACUCAAAUGAAUUGACGG
This 925-nucleotide ribosomal RNA is filed under the name uncultured bacterium. RNAcentral describes it as "bacterial SSU rRNA". It matches the Rfam family "Bacterial small subunit ribosomal RNA", at positions 8 to 916 of the family's 1533-position model. The record is from RNAcentral.